AGUUGGGGGCAUCCGUAUUCAGUUGUCAGAGGUGAAAUUCUUGGAUUUACUGAAGACGAACUACUGCGAAAGCAUUUGCCAAAGAUGUUUUCAUUAAUCAGUGAACGAAAGUUAGGGGAUCGAAGACGAUCAGAUACCGUCGUAGUCUUAACCAUAAACCAUGCCGACUAGGGAUCGGGCGAUGUUAUUGUAUUGACUCGCUCGGCACCUUUCGAGAAAUCAAAGUGUUUGGGUUCUGGGGGGAGUAUGGUCGCAAGGCUGAAACUUAAAGAAAUUGACGGAAGGGCACCACCAGGAGUGGAGCCUGCGGCUUAAUUUGACUCAACACGGGGAAACUCACCAGGUCCAGAUACACGUAGGAUUGACAGAUUGAGAGCUCUUUCUUGAUUGUGUAGUUGGUGGUGCAUGGCCGUUCUUAGUUGGUGGAGUGAUUUGUCUGCUUAAUUGCGAUAACGAACGAGACCUUCAUCGUUAACUAGCCCGGCUCGCCUUGGCGGGUCGCCGGCUUCUUAGCGAGACUUUUGGCUUAAGCCAAAGGAAGUUGGAGGCAAUAACAGGUCUGUGAUGCCCUUAGAUGUUCUGGGCUGCACGCGCGCUACACUGACAGA
This 608-nucleotide ribosomal RNA is filed under the name Ascomycota sp. F8. RNAcentral describes it as "SSU rRNA". It matches the Rfam family "Eukaryotic small subunit ribosomal RNA", at positions 880 to 1510 of the family's 1831-position model. The record is from RNAcentral. Lineage: Eukaryota; Fungi; Ascomycota.